Molecule: long non-coding RNA, 1200 nt
Organism: Astatotilapia calliptera (eastern happy)
Lineage: Eukaryota; Metazoa; Chordata; Actinopteri; Cichliformes; Cichlidae
Source: Ensembl
GGAUUGCAGCACGAUUGAAAGGGAAGGGUUUCAAAGCUGUAGUGAGACUUGCUAUGAUGUAUGGUUUGGAGAUGGUGGCACUAUAAAACAAAGAAAAAUUGGAAUUGCUAUAUAUGCAACUGGGUAUAGGUAAUACAUAUGAAAAUGUGAUGUUAAUAACCUAUAAAGCAAUAAGGAGGGUAAAGCUAUUAGUGAAGCAGCUGAGAUUAUUUGGCCAAAGCAAACUUUGUUUAAAAAUUUGAAACAGCCAGGAAAGUAAGAGCAUGGAAUCUAUUUUUAUAAUAUUAUGAGCAUUAAGAAAAUUAGAAAGAGGUAUUAAAAGGUUGUUUUUAUUCGGGGGGGUUUUCUAAAAUACUAACACUUUUAGACUCUAUAUAACACAAAUGUCAUGGCAGCAACUCACUGUGUGUAGAUGUAUGACCAAGAUGACCUGCUGAAUGUCAUUACUCAACAGAAUUCCAGAAUGAGGAAGAAAGUUGAUUUAAGUCACUUUGAACAUGGCAUGGAUGGCAACCAGACUGGUCUCAGUAUUUCAGAAACUGGGAUUUUCCCGCCAUCUUUACAGUUUACAGAGGAUGGUGCCACAGUGAGUGGUAAUAGUGAGAAGGACUCAUCCAGGCUCAUCCAGGCUGGAAAAACUGAUCAGGAAGGCUGGCUCUGUGGUCGGCAUGAAUCUGGACACUAUGGUGACAGUGGCAGAGAAAAGGACACUAAAAAACUGCUGGACAUUAUGGACAAUGCUGGGCAUCCUCUGCACACGGCCAUAAACAACCAGAGGAGUCUGUUCAGUGACAGGUUGCUUCUCCCAAAGACAAGAACCAACAGACUUAAAAACUCCUUUGUCCCACACGCCAUCAAACUGUUUAACUCCUCUCUGGAGAGGAAAGGGAGGGGAAGCAGGAGGACAAAGGAGGGGGGAACAACUAAGCUGUAGUGCCUUUUCACUGUCCAAUACUUUUUGUUAAUAACCAACGGCGCAAUAGACUUCAAUACUUGAAAUGUGCAAUUCCCUUGUAUUCUUAUUCCUAUUUAUUCUAUUUAUCCCUUUUGUAUACUCUUUAUUUAUAUAUGUCUCUGUAUUUAUAUAUGUUUAUAUAUGGUAUUCUGCUCACAUUCUGUAACUUCUGUUGGUGCUGUGCUAUUUGGAAACCGAAUUUCCCAGAGGAACCCACACGAGGGAUUAAUAAAGUUCUAUCUUAU